Molecule: long non-coding RNA, 368 nt
Filed under: Nicotiana benthamiana
Lineage: Eukaryota; Viridiplantae; Streptophyta; Magnoliopsida; Solanales; Solanaceae
Description: long non-coding RNA (NBEN_LNC026835)
Source: RNAcentral
AAGUUUUACUUAAAACAUGAAAUGCGCAAGUAGCACAGACAAAAUUAUGAAAAUUGAUAACUGAAGAAAAUAUAGCACACAACUGAAUAACUAAAUCACGGAAAUUAUCAUAAAUGUGGCUUUGCAAGCAUGGAGGCCUCAACCUCGGCAAUACCUCAUUUCAUGCUUGUAGGUUUCGCCCUAGCCUCAAUAAUCUUAAGUAACCUUCAACAUUAGGAGGUCUCAUCCUCGAUAUAGUUGUGGCUCUGCAAGCAUAGAGGCCUCAAACUCUACAAUAGUACAUAUCAUACUUGGGGAUCUUGCCUUGACCAGAAUAAAAACAUUACAAUUACAUUCAGGGGCGAAUUUAUAUGUAAAGAAUGGGAUGG